This is a non-coding RNA of Callithrix jacchus (white-tufted-ear marmoset), 1149 nucleotides long. The record is from RefSeq and is a predicted model, not a curated record. NCBI's taxonomy places the organism in Eukaryota, Metazoa, Chordata, Mammalia, Primates, Cebidae.
UCAUCUCCUGCCCUGAAUUGUAUGGUGGUGCCAUAAGAAGCCUUUUUAGAUACAUACAAGUGUGGCAUGAGGAAUGCCCCUCUGAGGAGCAGCAUGUUUUCUUUCACUUUCUCAGGGAAAGUCAGUUUCACUGAGAUACUAUCACUUAUUCAACAUCACACCAAAAAAUGGGAAGAAUGAAGUCUUUUUUGGCAUUGGCAAUGAUUCUGUAUUAAUUUAGAAUUGGAUGGACUGCCACAUAUUCAGAGAACUGAACACCCUAAAUGGGAUAUUGGAAAAUACUAUUUCAAACUAGGUGUGGUGACUCAUGCCUGUAAUCCCAAUACUGUGGGAGACCAAGGUGGGAGGAUUGCAUGAGCGCAGGAGUUCAAGGCUAGAUCUGGUCUCUAUGAAUAAGUAAAACAUUAGGCAGGCCAUAGGAGGAAGAUGGCGGUGGAGUCACGCACUACCCAGGAGGAAAUUAAGAAGGAGGCAGUGAAGCCAAUCGACAGUCCAAGACGUGCCCGCUGCUGCCACAGGUCUUCACCACCAAUAACGGCCACCACCACCGAGUGGAUGAGUUCUCCGGGGAAACGUCCCCUCCAGCGAGUGGCAGAUCUACACUUGGGUGGAUGCAAUCUUGAAAGAACUGACAAGCUUAGUAAAAGAAUUCUACCCAGAAGCUAGAUGGAAGGGCACUCGCUUCAAUUUUGCACUCGUUUUUACAGAUGCUAAAAGACCUGGCUAUGGAGUUAAGGAGAUUGGCAGCACCAUGUCUGGCAGAAAGGGGACUGAUGAUUCCAUGACUCUGCAGUCGCAGAAGUUCCAGAUAGGAGGUUACUUGGACAUAGCAAUUACCCCUCCAAAUCGGGCACCACCUCCUUCAGGGUGCAGGAGACCAUAUUAAAUUCUGCUUACUGUUUCUUGAAUUUAUGUUUCGGUCAGUUAUGCAAAAUAAACUUACUCUUUUUCCUCCCCUGAUGAUUCCCAUUAAGCCUUUAAAUUCCAAACAAAUUAUAAUGUAUCAUCUAUUUAGGAAUUAGGUUUGGAUGUGCUAUUGUAUGAUUACUAAUAGAAAGUCCGUAUGUUUCAAGCCCUUCUGUAAAAAUGAAGAAAAGUGCUCUUAGCAUUCUGUGUAAAACUGUACUGUUAAAUAUAUGUAUGUAAUCA